UCUUCUCUUCAACCCUAACCUAAAACCCUAGCUGCGGUUUUUCUUUCCAGUCUUGUAAAACCCUCAUUAAUCAUAGCCAAUGUUUUAGUUAUCAUCUGAAUCUAUAAAUCUGUCUAAUUUCAAGAUAUAUGUUUGUAAUUUCUGGUGGGUUUUGAUCUGUUUUUCAAAUCUGUACAUGAAGUGAGCCUUUCUUUUGCAAUGUCUGCUUACACAUACUCAGGGAAAUAAACAAAAUCAAGCUUGAGAUUUGCUUCAUAAAUCAGUCGUGAGGGAAGAAUUGAUAAGUAUUGCUAAGCGUUUUGAGUCUGGUAUAUCAGUCUUUACCCCAAAUUUUGGUUGUAUGAUUUUUUUGGCAUAUUGUCUAUUGGAAUGAUUUUGGCUUAGGUUGUCAGAGGUCUCUAAUUCGGUUUGGCAUUCUAUGAAUGCCAUGUUGAGUACUUGAAUUCCAAUUUGGUUUAACAAGCUGCCGGAUUUUCAAUGGUUUUAACGAUCUCAUUUUUUUAAUUGUCAAUUAUACAGAUGAGGAUGAAUUUAUAUACUAUAAUCCAACACUUGAUCUGAGGAAUUUGUUUCCCUUGAUGUUAAAUAGUAAAUUUCUGAAUCUGUUAUCUAAGUUUGACGUUUGGGUUUGAUUUUUUUUUUUUUUGCUUAUUUUUGAUUGAGUUUUUUCUUUUGGUUUAAAGAUUGGUUUUAUUUAUUUUUUUCUUUUGGUUUAAAGAUUGGCUUUAUCUGUGUCAUCUAGUGAUGAAAUUGAAAGUUAUAAUCUUAGGACACCUUCCUACACAGCGUAAGCCAAUGCUGUGAAUGAGAAAAACAUUUCUAUUCUGAUGAUGACCUUCUGUGUACAAAUGUCUCAAUUAACGAAGAGAACUAUAAGGUUAUGAUGGUAUUGUUGCGUCUUUUUGACACUGAAAGUGUACUUUCAUGUACUUUCCUUAUGAUGGAACAAUUAGUCGUUUAUGUACUCUUGCUUAAUGGGUGAUCACUUUUGCUGGCUUGGUGCAAUGAUAGUUGAAUUUUACUUGUACAUAACGGUUUAAACUUAUUAAGCAGUGAUGAGCAGCUAACAUGUAAGAAAAACUCAUGUAGGAAGUGGGAUUUUCAAUGAAAUACUCUUAGGCUUGGCUUCUGAGAUUUAAUUGUGUUAAACUUCCUUUGGCAAGUGAUUUUAGGCUGUGCUGUAGUUUUUCGAUACGUUUGCUUCUUUUGGUUUUAAAAGCAGUGAUGAGCAGCUAACAUGUAAGAAGAUCCCAUGUAGGAAGUGGGAUCUUCUAUGAAAUACUCUUACGCUUGGCUUCUGAGCUUUUGUUGUUUUUGCUUGUUACUGAUAAAAUCUUGUUUCAUUUCAAAUAUAACAUUGGUUUGUUAACUAGAUCAACGAGUAUCUGUUGUUAAGCAGUGAUGAGCAGCUGACUUUUAAGAAGAACCCAUGUAGGAAGUGGGUUUUUCUAUGAAAUAUUCUUACGCUUGGCUUCUGAGCUUAAAUCCGCUCAAUAUGAGAUCUGUUUGUAACCAUAUGAAUCUCUGUGCAGUUUUCUUUUGGUUCAGUCAUUGAAAUCUAAGCCAAACCACUAGCUGGACCUGUACUUAUAGAUAGACUUGGUCAUCAUUUCUCAAUAAUAUUUCCAAUGUCAAUAAAUCAGAUUAAAAUGGCUAAUGAUGAUAAACUCUUUAUCUUAGCGGAUUUCAGUGAGAUUUGUCAAUGAUCUGAAUGUUACACACACUGAAGCCUAAAUCUGUUCUUAUUGACUACUUGAAUUACUUCAAAUAUUUAGGUUUUGUUUGUGCUUCUUCUGAUUGAUUUUUAGUUAAGACUUAAAUGGAGUUGAAUUCUGAUUUUGAUGCAAUGAUGAGUUGAAGCACACGGGAGUGUGUUUAGGGCAGUGGGGAAGACCUAAAAUCUUUGCCGUGAGCCUCUAACAAAAACGACUUCUCCUUCCACUGAGCAUCCUAUUUCUCUUCCUUUUAAGUAUACAAAUCUUCUUUUAAAAAUAAUCAACCUAGAUUUAGUUUUAUUUUUUGAUAUUUAGGAACAGAAACUGAUUCAAAUGGCUCUAUAUCUGAGUCAACAGCAGGUGUCUUUCAAUGUCAAAACCUGACUGCCGCUUAGAGCCAACAUUAACUUUACCAGAGUAAGAUUGCUUGUAACUCACUUAUAUGUUGCUAGCCACAAUAUCUGGCUACAUUUCCAGACCCAAAUAUGUUCCAUAUACUUAGUGCCUCUCUUGGAAAUAUUUGAUCGGAGGAUUACAAUUUUGACAUCUAUUUAUUCAAGUUUUUUUGAUUUGGAGUUUGGAGAUUUGUGUGCCUUUUUAUAAUAUCAGUUUCCAUUUAUUAUCUGCAUGUUGCACCCCGGGCUUCUCCGAAAUAUACAAUGACGAAAAAAGCCCCAAUGCUCAUGCUAAAUUUUUGCCGUUUAGUGUUGCAGGUUCGCUUAGUUCUUCAACAGCUUAUUUGUGUCAAAAUAACUGCCACAUUUCCUUAUUGUUUUAGUAUUUAAAAGUUGCUUACGGUUUUGUCGAUGUCAUGUUCUGGUUUGAUUUGAUUUGAUUCUAUAUCAAAUGUACAAGUAUCAACCGAUCAGAUUAAUAGGCUAAUGACGAUAAACUUUUAUAUCUUAGCGGAUUUCAGUGAGAUUUUAUCAAUGAUCUGAAUGUUACACACACUGAAGUCUAAAUCUUUUCUUAUUGAUAUACUUCCAUAACAUGCUUUGAAAUUAUAUUCUCCCAAGUAUCGAGGUUCUGUUUUGUUUAGAUUAGUAUAAAAUGCCGAUGAUGACUACACAUAGACCUGUAAUGAUUGCGGAGAUGACUGCACAAUUUGAACAUCUAAGGGGCUGAGGCAUUUAUAAGUGGUUCAACAUCUGUUUAGUUAUUUUUUUGGUGGUUUGUUAUCUUUGUUUACAUCAUGUUAUUUGUUUGCGUUCUAGUUGGUUCCACUUUCCAUGUAUUGUCUGCAUGUUGCACCCCGGGCUUCUCCGAAAUAUAUGAUGAUGAAGAAAGCCCCAAUGCUCAUGCUAAAUUUGUGCCGUUUAGUAUUGCAGGUUCACUUAGUUCUUCAUCAGCUUAUUUGUCAAAAUAACUGCCACAUUCCUUGUCUUUGUCUUAGAGAGUAGUUUCAAAUGUUGCUUAGUCAUGUAUUCUGGCUUGGUUUGAUUCUAUCAAUAGAUUAGAUUAAAAGGCUAAUGAUGAUAAAUUUUAUAUCUUAGCGGAUUUCAGUGAGAUUUUAUCAAUGAUCUGAAUGUUACACACACUGAAGCCUAAAUCUUUGCUUAUUGAUCUACUUCCUGAAAUUGCUUCAAGAUUAUUUUCCUCCAAAUAUUGAGAUUUUGCCUUGCUAUUUUGUGGUUGCUGUGGUGUCACAUUUGGGCUUGGAUUGUUUUUGCGAGGAUAAUUAAGAUGGAAGUGAUGAUCCUUUCCCCAGCCCAUCGACUAAGAUUAGAAUGUGCGUUUUGUUUAAAUCUCUUUUUCAACAGAAGAGGUUUGUUAUCUAUUUCUUACAAAAGCUUCUAUUUGCUUAUAUGGCUUCUUUUACUGUUAGCCAUGUGAGUUUGAUCUCUUUCACUGUUUUGUUAAUGAUGAUAAAUCUAAGGCUUGUUUCUCAAGAACAUUCGCAGUUGCCGACUAAGAGCUUUCGCCUUUCGCCGGGCUUGAGAGCUAAUGCUGCUUUAUUCCUUCCUUGGAUGUCUGAAACAUCUUUUACGAACGUUACUUUGUAUAUUCUUUAAGCAUGAUUGGCUUCUUUUAAUUUUGUUUGGUAUCUAAUCCUGCCUUUUUCUACAACUAGGAGAGUCUGGAUGAAGGAAAUACUUUAUUUAUGUUUUACUCCAUAGUUUUUCUGUUUUUCUAGACUGUAAUUCUUUAUCAUUGGAUCAGACUGGCUAUUUUA
Papaver somniferum (opium poppy) is the source of this 3888-nucleotide long non-coding RNA. RefSeq lists it as uncharacterized. The record is from RefSeq and is a predicted model, not a curated record. The transcript is spliced from 2 exons. NCBI's taxonomy places the organism in Eukaryota, Viridiplantae, Streptophyta, Magnoliopsida, Ranunculales, Papaveraceae.